This is a long non-coding RNA of Gasterosteus aculeatus aculeatus (three-spined stickleback), 3679 nucleotides long. The record is from Ensembl. NCBI's taxonomy places the organism in Eukaryota, Metazoa, Chordata, Actinopteri, Perciformes, Gasterosteidae.
GCACAGAGGAGGCGCCCCGCCGCUCGGGGGCCCUCAAGACCCGAGCCCACACGGACCAGACCAACGCAGAGGUACCUCACCGCCUCAGCGGGCAACCUGGAAGUGUACUGGGGCACUACCUGAUCUCCGUUGUCGUUUGUUGUUGUUGUUGUUGUUGUUGUCUUCACCUGCAGUCCCCGACGACGAAUCCACGCACGGAUUCUGACCUCCGCCGUGAUGCAGUUGUUCCUCGUUGGAAGUCAGAGAUGAUCAGUGGCGGUUUUAAAUGCAGUUCUGUCUCUGUGGGACGUUCAAAUUUAAGCUAUAACAUAGUAAAUGCUCAACAGUCAUACAUGACGCUUUCAUUAUUUCACAUGCAUUUAUAUACUGAUACUGUAGCCUGAUAAAUAAACAAUGCUGGAGACAGUUUUGUCUCUUAUAUCCAUGUGUAUGUGUCUGCCUUAUUCAAUCUUUGUAAUGGCACUUCUAUAUCGUGCAUAAAGAAAACCUUAGAUUGAAGAUGUGUGACACACGAUGCAGAUAAAAGGUAACAAUUAAUUUUGCCUGAAUGGUGCAUCUUGUUUUUCUUGCACUCCUACAGGUAGUCAGAAAGAGUUUCACAUUAAAAACAUUUCUCCUUUAAUCAUUUUGGGAUGUCAAAAAGAUUUUUUUUUAAUGUUGAAUAAUUAAAUUGUGGAUCCAUAGUUGGUAAGCACUGUUGGAAUAAGCGGAGUGGAUCAGGGUGAGUGUUUAAUACCGCGAAUCUCCUAAAUCUGCUAAAUCCCACUGCACAUAUGUUUAUGUUUGUUGAUCCUGUGGUUUAAAAGAGAAUAAAUAAAUAAAAGAAAUAGAAGCUGCCAAAUUAAAUUAACAUAUACUGCGUGUGCCUUCUAAUUCACACAAACUAUAUGGAAAAGCAUAUAUAUAUACCAUAUUUUACAGAUCAAUUUAUGGAUGUUUUGUCAUGAAAUUUAGUUUUGGGAAAUUACAACUUUUAUUGAAUGUUUUGUCAUUUUAAUUUAACCACGUUAAAAUGUACUUUUACAUCUGUUGCAAAGUGAAUGUCUGGGGAAUAAAAGUCUACAUAAACACUCAAAGAAACAGAUUUUAAAAAUCCUCACACAGAACACCAAACUACUUUGAGAAAUCACAUACUUUUUUUUUUUGUUGAACCUCCUCGUUGUUUCAUCUCGAGCAGCGAAGGUAGCGGCAGCUUGCAGUGCACAUCCUCUGUGUUUGCAAACAGUUAAUUACCCAUCAUGCAUCCAGUGUUGCCAAUCACACCAGCCAAAAGGUCUCUCAAGGCUGAUUAACAUAUUACUGCUGGACAUAUUCCCCUUUUUUCUCACAGAAAUAAGCUUGUUUUGUGGUAACUGUGGUUGGAUUCAUUCCAGUAAUGAAGUGUGUUCUCUUGAUAAUAAGUGAAGCUCAACAUUUAACUUUAGUUGCAUUUGUCAAAAGCAAAUUUCCUCUAUUGUUGGGAGAGAUGCUGUUAAGUAUUUUGGCAUUUUAUUGUCGGCACAGCUCGUAUAAAUUCUAUCAGCAGGAUAAUACUGUAGUUAGCCAUAAUUACGUGUAUACUAAUGGUGCCCAUCAUGUUUUUGGAAGGAGAAUUAGAUGUCUGAUUUACCAACGUAUGAAAAGUCUGUUAUAUACUAUAUAUUAUUCAUAUAUUAAUAUAUUUUUCAUUAGAGUAAAAGCAAAUCAGACAAAAAGCAUCUACAUUGCUUGCGUUUAUGCGUAAAUACUGUGUGUUACUCUGAGAAAAAUAUUUGUGUUGUAUUUGUAUUCCUCACAUCAAAGAGAUUCUGAUGGAGUUGUUCGCUCGGAAAAUGCAUCUUUAUUUAUGUACCGCGUGGCAGCUUAUAAACGGUUUUCUUUCUCUCUCUCUUAUUGUACUUGUAGAAAAGGAGCUUCGGUACCCCCUCGCCCCUUAGCGCACCAAUUAUUUGACACAAUAGGACAACGCCAUUGAUGAAUGCAAGUAAAAUCUUCAUAUGCAGGAAUCGCGCUCUUAAAUCCUUGACUCUUAAAAGCGUCGUGGUCAUGUUGUGUUCACCGAAACCCAGGUUAAGGUAAUGCUGCUGCAAUUGUUGUCAGUGAAGUCUGUGCAUAUAUGUAAAGAAAUACACUAUGUCUGCUUUCUGAGAGGAGUUUUUUUUAAAAAUUCUAAAUGAAUUCCUGUCACGAAUCACAAUGAAGAAAGCGGAGGAAGAGGACAGCGGCGUAAUGAAGAGUGAGUCACAUUGGCCUGUGACUCUGCACUCAUCUAAAAUCAAUAUCGCCCUCCGGAGACGUCUCAACUAAUACAACGAACAGCUCAACAAGCAUUUCAUCAGGUUGAAAGUUUAUGAAUCAAUAACCAAAGUCUCGGCAUGCAGAGCCUCAUUUUUUUAAAGACCCCAGUGGGAUCAGGACUGUUCCCGUGAACAAGCUGGACACCCGUGAUUUACGCAGGCAGGCUGCUUCUCGUUUACCACCGUAGGUAUUCGAACAUCGAGCGGCAGUCGAGCAGGAGCCGAGCGUCUCCCGCAUCGUGGGAACCUCAGCGAGUCGGCUGCGAGGGGCCGCCCCUCCCGCCGCCCUUCCAAAACAAACAUUCGAGCGAGUUUUUCAGAAAUGGACGCCGUGGUCAUUAAUCAGGCGUCCCGGGCAGGUCGUGAUCUCUCUGAAUACAGUAUCCACCAGAAAGGCCAGGUGACCCGCGGUAACAACGGCACCAACGCCGUCCACCUGUCCGUCACUGCGCCAUCUCGCGGGGAGAGGAGAGCCGAGCCGCAACCGGCUGGUAGAUGUUAGUCAAAGGUCAACGGCACGCUCGCCGGCGGGGGUAAUGAUUUGAGUCGUAUUCUGACGCUUUCGCCACAGCCAGCGGGGUUUGACGCACUGAUUGGAGCGUCGAUCGGUAGAGGAGACGGUCUGUGUUUAUGCAACGGCUGCCUACGCAAACCCCGGUGAUCGGCCUGCACGCCCACAUGGCGACCGUAUAACGAAGCCACAAAAGGAAUCAUGGAUGGACAAAAUCCCACUGGAGCCCUUAUUAAGAACGCGUCCCCUCGUAAAGAGAGUUGGAUGUGAGCUGUUUUCAUUCUUCGUCGCGGGAUCCCGACAAGUCGUUUCGUUUGUCAGCUCGUGAGCCGCUAAUUGAAAAAGUCAGACAACAAAUUUAACCUUUUGACCUCCGUGUUUUUUUAAAGCUUUCACCGCCAAAACAAAAAAGCCAAGAGCAGAUGCACGGGACAAAUGCAGAGAAAGUGGCUUCCUGUUGACCUCUGCUUUGUGACCGAGGAGCAAAUGGGAACGCUCCCUUUCUGGGUUGGUCUUGUAUGCAGGACCCUCCACAUCUCUCAAUGAGGAGAAGCCCGUUGGGGGGGGAUCUCAUAGAAGAGACUUUCUCAAACAGGAAGCAGGAGGCCUUUUUGUGAGAGAAAUAAAAGAAGAAACAGUGUCAUCUUCUGUGUGGGGGAGGUUCGUGUGCAUUUCUUUGGCAUGUGCAGUCCUUUGCAGCUUCACUGAGGCUUUAUUAUAUGCAUCGACAUUCAUUAAAUGUUACCAAUAGAUGAAUUCCUUUAUUAUUGAUAUAAAUGACAAUGUAUUGUGUAACAAUCACUGGGUUCAAGAUUAUUUGCCAAGUUAUUCAAGGCACUUUAAUAUAAUCAAGCCCAAGCUUUAGUUGCAAAAGUUGCACGCACCUUAUUGC